Molecule: ribosomal RNA, 440 nt
Filed under: uncultured bacterium
Lineage: Bacteria
Description: partial 16S ribosomal RNA
Rfam family: Bacterial small subunit ribosomal RNA
Source: RNAcentral
CCUACGGGGCGCUGCAGUGGGGAAUAUUGCACAAUGGGGGAAACCCUGAUGCAGCGACGCCGCGUGAGUGAAGAAGUAAUUCGUUAUGUAAAGCUCUAUCAGCAGGGAAGAAAAUGACGGUACCUGAGUAAGAAGCCCCGGCUAACUACGUGCCAGCAGCCGCGGUAAUACGUAGGGGGCAAGCGUUAUCCGGAUUUACUGGGUGUAAAGGGAGCGUAGACGGCAGUGCAAGUCUGGAGUGAAAGGCGGGGGCUCAACCCCCGGACUGCUCUGGAAACUGUCAAACUGGAGUAUGUGAGAGGGCGGCGGAAUUCCUGGUGUAGGAGUGAAAUCCGUAGAUAUCAGGAGGAACAUCAGUGGCGAAGGCGGCCGCCUGGCACAAAACUGACGCUGAGGUGCGAAAGUGUGGGUAUCAAACAGGAUUAGAUACCCCAGUAGUC